UCGAUAGGGUUGGUUGGGGGAACUGCAUGUUGAGGGGGGAGUUCUAGGGCGUGUCCUGUUGUACUUCUGAGGAGAGUUUGGGAGUUUGAGUGCUGCAUUGAGCCCGGCGGGACGGGAUCAAGCAGCAUGAGCCGAAUUCAGGGAUGUUUGCCUAAGCAAUUUUAGAUCGCCCCCGUCUAAGUCCCGCGGGGUUCGUGCUGUUUUUGUACAUGUGAGGGAGUUGAUCUAGAGUUCGUAACAUGUCCUGCUGUUUUUGAUCCAAUUUGCUUUUGUUGCGGAAGGGGGCUCAGGUUUUUGGGGCCAAUCAUGUGCCUAUUUUGAGUGUUAGAGCACAGAUAGGCGGCAGCAAGCAAAUAUAGGAACAUGCCUUACCAAAUAUAGUUGCUUUUUUACAAUGCAACUUUGUGUUUUUAGAAGAUACAAGUUCCCAAAGAGAUGCAGCGAGGGAUGCAACGGUCCAGAGCUAUGCUGGGUGGGUUUCUGCUAUGGGGAGUGUGCUAAUCAUGUGGGGUGUUCUUCUCGGUGACAACACAGUGUUUGGUCUUGACAUUUUGUCCUUUCUUUGUGUUGCCUGUGUUGUUAGAUGAAACGAGCAGAGAAAACCAAAAAGGACCUAACCGACAUGCGUUUCUGGCCUGUUCAUUUUUCUUUGCCUAGCUGCAGCAUGCCCACUUAAUUUCCUGGCUAGAUUUUUUUUCAAUUCCGGUGAAUUUCUUGUCAUCAUUUUUCUUUGCCUAGCUGCAGCAUGGUCAUUUAAUUUCCA
Long non-coding RNA from Brachypodium distachyon (stiff brome), 763 nucleotides. RefSeq lists it as uncharacterized. Lineage: Eukaryota; Viridiplantae; Streptophyta; Magnoliopsida; Poales; Poaceae. The record is from RefSeq and is a predicted model, not a curated record. The transcript has 3 exons.